This is a long non-coding RNA of Sciurus carolinensis (gray squirrel), 669 nucleotides long. RefSeq lists it as uncharacterized. The transcript has 3 exons. The record is from RefSeq and is a predicted model, not a curated record. Lineage: Eukaryota; Metazoa; Chordata; Mammalia; Rodentia; Sciuridae.
CAGAGGCGACUUCCCACAAACCUAUUACAGUGAGUUGGAAGAAAAAUGGCAGUACCUGUUGAGUAGAACUACCAUGAUGUCCCGUGGGAUGGUGAGCCAAUUGAUGUCCUGGUGACAAAAUUUCGACAGACAACCAGAGUUGCUAUAGUCCUGAGAUAAGAUGGCACAGGCAGGGUCAUGCUGUGUUGCUCGAAUUGGGCUUGAAUGGUGAUCCUCCAGCAUCAGCCACCCAAGUAGCUGGGAUUACAAGCAUGUGCCACCAUGCCUGGUUUGGGAUUUGAUCUUGAUAUUUUUUGGUUGGCUGCUCAUUUCAAUAUACAUUUAGUUUUAUUGAACUUUAAAAAGGAGGCUUAUUCCAGAUAGAUUUCCAACUUUACAGAACUUCCUUUCCUGUCCACCCUUUCCCCCAACCCCAGAGUUAAGAACUAUGAUGGCUUGUUUUCUGAGAUUUCUGGCUGUUUCCCACCCCAUUGUGAUCUGGACUUUCCUUUUCAUUUAUCUCUAUUGCUUCUAUCCUGCUCCUAUCCUCUUCCACUCCCAGCAGUUUCUCCUGUGGGGUUUGGUUCUGGAAGGGAGCCCUGUUGGAUCUGUUUCAAGAUCUCAGAAGGCUUGGACUGCCCUAGCCCCUUGAAGGCCUCACUCCUGGUCCCUAAGCACUCAACCACCAUU